UACGUAGGGGGCAAGCGUUGUCCGGAUUUAUUGGGCGUAAAGAGCGUGUAGGCGGUCAGGUAGGUCCGUUGUGAAAACUCGAGGCUCAACCUCGAGACGCCGAUGGAAACCAUCUAGCUAGAGUCCGGAAGAGGAGAGUGGAAUUCCUGGUGUAGCGGUGAAAUGCGCAGAUAUCAGGAAGAACACCCGUGGCGAAGGCGGCUCUCUGGUACGUGACUGACGCUGAGACGCGAAAGCGUGGGGAGCGAACAGG
RNAcentral lists this ribosomal RNA (253 nucleotides) under uncultured bacterium. RNAcentral's name for it is "partial 16S ribosomal RNA". It matches the Rfam family "Bacterial small subunit ribosomal RNA", at positions 524 to 776 of the family's 1533-position model. The record is from RNAcentral.